This 835-nucleotide ribosomal RNA is filed under the name Seiridium sp. Its description in RNAcentral is "partial large subunit ribosomal RNA". It matches the Rfam family "Eukaryotic large subunit ribosomal RNA", at positions 77 to 939 of the family's 3401-position model. Lineage: Eukaryota; Fungi; Ascomycota; Sordariomycetes; Amphisphaeriales; Sporocadaceae. The record is from RNAcentral.
GCCCUAGUAACGGCGAGUGAAGCGGCAACAGCUCAAAUUUGAAAUCUGGCCCUUGGGUCCGAAUUGUAAUUUGUAGAGGAUGAUUUUGGUGCGGUAUCUUCCGAGUUCCUUGGAACAGGACGCCUUAGAGGGUGAGAGCCCCGUACGGUUGAAUGCCUAGCCUUUGUAAAUCUCCUUCGACGAGUCGAGUAGUUUGGGAAUGCUGCUCUAAAUGGGAGGUAAAUUUCUUCUAAAGCUAAAUACUGGCCAGAGACCGAUAGCGCACAAGUAGAGUGAUCGAAAGAUGAAAAGCACUUUGAAAAGAGGGUUAAAUAGCACGUGAAAUUGUUGAAAGGGAAGGAUUUAUGACCAGACUUUUUCUGGGCGGAUCAUCCGGUGUUCUCACCGGUGCACUUUGCCCAGUUUAGGCCAGCAUCGAUUUUCGGAGAGGGAUAAAAGCUUUGGGAAUGUGGCUCCCCCGGGAGUGUUAUAACCCAUUGUAUAAUACCUUUUUGGGGAUCGAGGUACGCGCUUCUGCAAGGAUGCUGGCGUAAUGGUUAUCAAUCACCCGUCUUGAAACACGGACCAAGGAGUCGAACAUUUGUGCGAGUGUUUGGGUGUUAAACCCUCACGCGUAAUGAAAGUGAACGGAGGUGAGAGCCCUUACGGGUGCAUCAUCGACCGAUCCUGAAGUUUUCGGAUGGAUUUGAGUAAGAGCAUAACUGUUCGGACCCGAAAGAUGGUGAACUAUGCGUGGAUAGGGUGAAGCCAGAGGAAACUCUGGUGGAGGCUCGCAGCGGUUCUGACGUGCAAAUCGAUCGUCAAAUCUGCGCAUGGGGGCGAAAGACUAAUCGAA